This 358-nucleotide transfer-messenger RNA is filed under the name Succinivibrionaceae. RNAcentral's name for it is "UBA2804 sp900319705 Standard tmRNA". It matches the Rfam family "transfer-messenger RNA". From Rfam's summary of the family: Bacterial tmRNA, also known as 10Sa RNA or SsrA, is named for its dual tRNA and mRNA-like properties. Its role is to liberate the mRNA from a stalled ribosome. Lineage: Bacteria; Pseudomonadati; Pseudomonadota; Gammaproteobacteria; Aeromonadales. RNAcentral also lists the same sequence under 1 other name. The record is from RNAcentral.
GGGGGUGACUUGGCUUCGACAGGGAGUGUGAGGACCUAGGUGCAUGUCAAGCUUAGAUAACUUGUUAAACUAUCUAAAAAAAAUAGUCGCAAACGACGAAACUUUCGCUAUCGCAGCUUAAUAACCUGUUAGGUAGCCGCUUCUCUCAAACUUGCUGAUGACUUUGUCUGUAAGCGUUCCCUUUCAUCAGAUCGCUGGGAUCCUUUGCCUGGAGGUGAACAGUUAAAUACAAUCAGGAUAGCAUAUUGGUAGUGCGUCUACUCACAGCCGGUAUGUGAAACCUAACAGUAUGACUAAACAUGUAGUACCGAAGUUUGAUCCUUUUUGGACGCGGGUUCAAUUCCCGCCACCUCCACCA